CCUACGGGAGGCAGCAGUGAGGAAUCUUGCGCAAUGGGCGAAAGCCUGACGCAGCCACGCCGCGUGCCGGAUGAAGGCCCUAUGGGUUGUAAACGGCUUUUACUAGGGAAGAACGAGAGGGUUUUGAUCUUCUGUGACGGUACCUAGUGAAUAAGCACCGGCUAACUCCGUGCCAGCAGCCGCGGUAAUACGGAGGGUGCAAGCGUUGUCCGGAAUCAUUGGGUGUAAAGGGUACGUAGGCGGGAGCCUAAGUCUGGGGUGAAAUCUUGCCGCUUAACGGUAAAAUGGCCUUGGAUACUGGGUUUCUUGAGUGCAGAAGAGGCAGGUGGAAUUCGUGGUGUAGCGGUGAAAUGCUUAGAUAUCACGAAGAACAUCAGUGGCGAAGGCGGCCUGCUGGUCUGCAACUGACGCUGAGGUACGAAAGCGUGGGGAGCGAACAGGAUUAGAUACCCUGGUAGUCCACGCCGUAAACGAUGCAUACUAGGUGUUGGCCUUAGGGCCAGUGCUGCAGUUAACGCAUUAAGUAUGCCACCUGGGGAGUACGUCGGCAACGAUGAAACUCAAAGGAAUUGACCGG
RNAcentral lists this ribosomal RNA (577 nucleotides) under uncultured Bacteroidota bacterium. Its description in RNAcentral is "bacterial SSU rRNA". It matches the Rfam family "Bacterial small subunit ribosomal RNA", at positions 338 to 917 of the family's 1533-position model. The record is from RNAcentral. Lineage: Bacteria; Pseudomonadati; Bacteroidota.